Magnolia sinica is the source of this 260-nucleotide long non-coding RNA. RefSeq lists it as uncharacterized. Lineage: Eukaryota; Viridiplantae; Streptophyta; Magnoliopsida; Magnoliales; Magnoliaceae. The transcript is spliced from 2 exons. The record is from RefSeq and is a predicted model, not a curated record.
UUACUGUUCUUGAAUCAUAAUACAAAAUCAAAGCAAAUGGUAUUGUUGACAAUAAAAAACUUCCUCCAGCUAAAAAUGGAAGAUGACUGCACUACUUGGCUCUUUGAACUAAGGUUGACACAUCAGAUUCAAAGGGUGAGUUACCCAUGGCCAAAACCAUUGCAACUUGCCACAACGAAUAGUAAUUCACAAAACAUAGAUUAACAUUCUUAGCGUCUAAAUCAAAACCCCAAAACAGAAUAAAAAAAUAAAAAUAAAAA